This 408-nucleotide ribosomal RNA is filed under the name uncultured bacterium. RNAcentral describes it as "partial 16S ribosomal RNA". It matches the Rfam family "Bacterial small subunit ribosomal RNA", at positions 28 to 526 of the family's 1533-position model. The record is from RNAcentral.
GACGAACGCUGGCGGCGUGCUUAACACAUGCAAGUCGAACGAAGUGGCGAACGGGUGAGUAACGCGUAAUCAACCUGCCCUUCAGAGGGGGACAACAGUUGGAAACGACUGCUAAUACCGCAUACUGAAGGAGGUGAUUGCUGCUGAUUAGCUAGGUGGAGGGGUAACGGCCCACCAAGGCGAGGAUCAGUAGCCGGGCUGAGGGGAUGAGCGGCCCCAUUGGGACUGGGACACGGCCCAGAGUCCUACGGGAGGCAGCAGGGGGGAAUCUUCCGCAAUGGACGAAAGUCUGACGGAGCAACGCCGCGGGAGUGAGGACGGCCUUCGGGUUGUAAAGCUCUGUUAAUCGGGACGCGGUACCGGAAUAGAAAGCCACGGCUAACUACGUGCCAGCAGCCGCGGUAAUUC